Molecule: ribosomal RNA, 460 nt
Filed under: uncultured bacterium
Lineage: Bacteria
Description: partial 16S ribosomal RNA
Rfam family: Bacterial small subunit ribosomal RNA
Source: RNAcentral
CCUACGGGUGGCAGCAGUGAGGAAUAUUGGUCAAUGGGCGCGAGCCUGAACCAGCCAAGUAGCGUGAAGGAUGACUGCCCUACGGGUUGUAAACUUCUUUUAUAAAGGAAUAAAGUGAGGCACGCGUGCCUUUUGGUAGGUACUUUAUGAAUAAGGAUCGGCUAACUCCGUGCCAGAAGCCGUGGUAAUACGGAGGAUCCGAGCGGUAUCCGGAUUUCUUGGGUUUAAAGGGAGGGUAGAUGGGAUGUUAAGUCAGUUGUGAAAGUUUGCGGCUCAACCGGAAAAUUGCAAUUGAUACUGGCGGUCUUGAGUGCAGUUGAGGUAGGCGGAAUUCGUGGUGUAGCGGUGAAAUGCUUAGAUAUCACGCAGAACUCCGAUUGCGAAGGCAGCAUACCGGCGCCCGACUGACGCUGAGGCACGAAAGCGUGGGGAUCGAACAGGAUUAGAUACCCGGGUAGUC